CUUGACCGAGCCCAGCCGGAGCGGUUCGCCGGUGCCGCGCUGGCCGUAGGUGUCCAGCAGCGCCUGCGCCUC
Molecule: antisense RNA, 72 nt
Filed under: Frankia sp. ACN1ag
Lineage: Bacteria; Bacillati; Actinomycetota; Actinomycetes; Frankiales; Frankiaceae
Description: ASpks sRNA
Rfam family: ASpks TB sRNA
Source: RNAcentral